UCUAGGUCACGCCCACAAUGACCCGCCUCUUGGGGACCCAACAUCCUAACAGCAAGUCAAUUCUAACCCCCAAGUCCAAUCAUCUUCCAAACACAUGAGGCCCUGGGGUCAUGUUAGAUGUAAGCUAUACCAAGAGGAGUUUUCAAUAAUGGACAUAGACCCAAGCUCAGGCGCGAGAACCAACCUACGGCUUCAGACAGACUUUACAACGUAGGUUCAUGUCCUGCACAAGAUGACCCUGGACUUACUGUGGGACCAUUUUAAUAAACCCAUCAUAAGUUGAAAAUAUUACCAAGAAAACAUGAACCGAGGCGACACACAUCAACCUUGGUAGAAGGAUUUAAGGACAAGUGUUUGAUUUUCUAUGCUUCCUGCUCUGGUGAUUGGAGUGCAGUAAAUUGAUAUAGCAAUGCCAGAAGAAAUCUAACACAAGUGGGUGGCAGUCUUGGAAGCCAAAUCAAUUAUAAUAAGAAAAAGGAAGAGG
Fukomys damarensis (Damara mole-rat) is the source of this 484-nucleotide long non-coding RNA. RefSeq lists it as uncharacterized. The transcript has 5 exons. The record is from RefSeq and is a predicted model, not a curated record. NCBI's taxonomy places the organism in Eukaryota, Metazoa, Chordata, Mammalia, Rodentia, Bathyergidae.